CAGCCGUAAACAAUGUGCGUUAGGUGUGUCGGUAACCACGUGUUACUGAUGCGCCGAAGAGAAAUCGUGAAACGCACCACCUGGGAAGUACGGUCGCAAGGCUGAAACUUAAAGGAAUUGGCGGGGAGCACCACAACAGGUGGAGCCUGCGGGUUUAAUUUGGAUUCAACGCCGGACAUCUCACCGGAUAAGACAGCUGAAUGAUUGUCAAUCUGAAGGUUUUACAUGACUAGCUGAGAGGAGGUGCAUGGCGUCAGUGACU
RNAcentral lists this ribosomal RNA (262 nucleotides) under uncultured archaeon. RNAcentral's name for it is "partial 16S ribosomal RNA". It matches the Rfam family "Archaeal small subunit ribosomal RNA", at positions 748 to 1008 of the family's 1478-position model. The record is from RNAcentral.